This 165-nucleotide long non-coding RNA is filed under the name Monodelphis domestica (gray short-tailed opossum). RNAcentral's name for it is "lncRNA (ENSMODG00000045597.1)". The record is from RNAcentral. Lineage: Eukaryota; Metazoa; Chordata; Mammalia; Didelphimorphia; Didelphidae.
UAACAUCUCUCCCUCUUGGAAUUUUUUUUUAGGAUGGGGAAGGCGUCCAGAGUUUUCUUUCAUUCUUAUCCUACAGCACUAAAUUCUAGGCCUGAGCACUGUGCAACAACAGAGGGAUCUUCUGCAAGAAGAAAGAAAGGAAUGGCCCAAACAGUCUUAAUCUAG